AUUUAAAUAUUUAAGUUCUAUAACAAAAAAAAUAUCUACAGCUUUGUUUUCAGAUUGGAAACUUUGUGGUCAUCUUUAGAAAUGAUCGUCGAUGGGGUUGAUGGGGCAAGCCCAUCGAAAUCUCGCGCACAGGAAACCGCGCCGCCCAUGCCUGCUGCAUCUCUCUUUCCUCAAAGUGUUGUGGUGCCACCACCUGCCCACUACGUUGAAUGUGGUGCGAGCAGUGGAGCAAGCACACCAAAGACCACGCGGCCUGUAAAUCGCGAUCGCCACUGGCCGAAUAUUAGGACACCCCUCUGUGAUGAUGAUA
Papilio machaon (common yellow swallowtail) is the source of this 310-nucleotide long non-coding RNA. RefSeq lists it as uncharacterized. Lineage: Eukaryota; Metazoa; Arthropoda; Insecta; Lepidoptera; Papilionidae. The record is from RefSeq and is a predicted model, not a curated record. The transcript is spliced from 3 exons.